RNAcentral lists this ribosomal RNA (407 nucleotides) under uncultured bacterium. RNAcentral's name for it is "partial 16S ribosomal RNA". It matches the Rfam family "Bacterial small subunit ribosomal RNA", at positions 30 to 526 of the family's 1533-position model. The record is from RNAcentral.
AUUGAACGCUAGCGGGAUGCCUUACACAUGCAAGUCGAACGGAGUGGCGAACGGGUGAGUAAUGUAUCGGAACGUGCCCAGUAGCGGGGGAUAACUACGCGAAAGCGUAGCUAAUACCGCAUACUAUUGGAGCGGCCGAUAACGGAUUGGCUAGGUGGGGGGGUAACGGCUCACCAAGGCGACGCACCGUAGCUGGUUUGAGAGGACGACCAGCCAAACUGGGACUGAUAGACGGCCCAGACUCCUACGUGAGGCAGCAGUGGGGAAUUUUGGACAAUGGGGGAAACCCGGAUCCAGCCAUCCCGCGUGUGCGAUGAAGGCCUUCGGGUUGUAAAGCACUUUUGGAAGGAAAGCGGUACCUGCAGAAUAAGCACCGGCUAACUACGUGCCAGCCGCCGCGGUAAUUC